UCGACAUCAGAAUAUAGGAUAUUCUCAGAUGUAAGCAAACUAGGUAGCUGCUUAUUAGCAAUACUAAGUAAUUAGUAUUAAGCUCCUAUGAAGUAGGAAGUACUACGUACAUCGUACAUAGUACCAAGUAGCAAUACUUGUAUUGAAUCCUUCAAUAGAAUACUUCACAGAAGUGGCUUCUAAGUAGACUCCAAAUGAAGUAAGGAGUAACUGCCUAUACUUAUAUGAAACCUGAUUGAACUGAAUAUAUUAACCUUUUAGAUUUUAGAUCUUUAAUCUAUUAGUCUCUAGACCUCAACUGUUCUUCGACAGGUGGAGGGAAACUAUUAAUAUAGUAAAGUUCUAAUCGAAAUCUCAGUUAAUUAAGUACGACGAGAGAAAACUAGUCGGAACAUAGGGGAACCAUCCUCUAAGGCUAAGUAUUAUAAAUUUAGCGAUAGUGAAAAAGUACUGUAAAGGAAAACAUUGAAAAGCGGGUAGUAGACCAAGACACCUGAAAGGUUUACGUUUAGUUGAAGUACAAGCCUCUCUAUCCUGAUCAGGUACAAAGUACUUGAAAGUUUUCUAUCUUUAUCUCCGACCCUAGGUCGGAUAUUUUCAGGAGACAGAGGUGUAAAAUGAAAAAAUUAUUUUUGAACCUUUAAAUUAUCUUACGAAUAGCUUCUAAAAAAAUCUAAACGUAGAAUCUAAAGGAUAAAAUCAAUUUUGAUGCGUUUGGAAUCCUUAAUCGGAAACUUCCUUACAACUAAACUGUAUAAUCUCGUAGGAGAAUAAAGUGAUAAAUAUUUACAAAUUUAACACUUUCGGUGAAAUAGAACAUGAAUUAGUAACUCUAUAAGCAGUCGAAAUCCUUUAACAGGGACUACGGCGUACCUUUUGCAUAAUGGGUCAGCUAGUUAAUAGGAGUAGCAAGGUUAAGAGCCCUAGCGAAAGCGACUGGACUAUUGAAUAUUUCAACAAAUCUACGAGUACUAUAACAAGUCCUUGAUAGAUUUAUGUUUAAAUAUCAAAUAAUAGUAAUGGAUAAGUUGCUUCUAUUAGACCCGAAGCCAGGUGAUCUUACCAAGACCAGAUGAUAAUAGAUCGAACGGAUGAAUGUUGCAUUAUUCCCCGAUGAGUCUUGGUAAGCGGUGAAAUGCCAAUCUGACCUGGUGAUAGCUGGUUUUCUACCGAAACAUAUUUAAGUAUGACAUCUACCUAUAAAUGCAAAGACUUUGCUAAGAUUUAUGGAGGUACAGCACAGAGCUUCCCAACAAUUCUAAAAAAAUUAGUAUUUUAUACUAAUAAAUACUUAGAUGCGUUCAAGUUGCGGGGACUUAGAAAAUCUUACCUUUGGAAGCGAAUCUCGAAAUAACAUAAAUUGAUGGUAGAUAUUCAGACUGCUCAAGCUAAGUUGGGCAGUCAAGACGGAAACAGCCGAGAACACUGAUCAAGGUCCCAAAUGAUAGUUAAGUGAAAUUAAGGCAGUAGCCAAUUCUAAUACAGCUGUUAAGUGAGCCUGGUAGUCGCUACUUAUAAUGAACGUACGUAACAACGCAUCAGCAGUGAAGAAUAGUCGCGCCGAUAAUUUAACGGGUCUUAAACAAUCAACCGAUAUCGUGUUGAUUAAGAAUAUACCUGAAAAAAAGUAUAUUCCUAAUCUAGGUAGUAGAACAUUCAGUCUAGCCUAUAAUCUAACAGUGUUUCAUUGUUUAGUAGGAUACUGAAGAGAGAAUGCUGACAUGAGUAACGUAAAAAGAAGUUAUAAUACUUCUCGCCGAAUACGAAAGGGUUACAAAGAAAGGUUAAUCCUCUUUGUUUUAAUGCGGCCUCUAAGGACCAAAACCAAAGUUUUGGCUGAUGAGUAAUAGAAUAGAAAACCCUUUAAGGGUCAAGAAAAUAAUAUUAAAUAAUUCUAAUUAAGAGUCUGAGUCUAUAUGAAAAUAAAAAUUUUUCAUAGGGUUAACAGCCCGGCCUCCAUCUCCUACUUAAAUAGGAUUGGAAGUCUAGAUUAUUAAUACACGAUAAAUUCGUUAUUAAUAUUUAGAAAUUAUUAGCACUACCGUACCCUAAACCGACACAGGUUCGUAGGUAGAGAAUACUAAGGCGUAGAGCUAAAAGUUGUUAAGGAACUCGGCAAACACCCCUCAAACGCUUGGCAACAAGAGGUACCAAGCAACCAAAAUGUUGGUUGUAGUUUGUUUAUUAGACAGCUCACAUUUUCUCUCCAAGUCGGAUAGUAAAUGAAUUAAUAAAUAAACAAAUUGGUGUCACAGAAUCGGAGGCCCCGACUGUUUACUAAAAACAUAACACAGUGCAAUCAUUAAUGUGGUAGUAUACUGUGUGAAAUUUGCUCGAUGCCAUUAAUAUAAGUAAGGUCAAUUAAAAAAUGACUGAAUGAAAAUCUGGUUAAUAGCGGUCUUAACUAUGAGGAUCCUAAGGUAGCAAAAUCAUUUGGCCUUUAAAUGAGGUCCAGUAUCAAUAAUCUAACGAUGGUCUCGCUGUCUCUACAACUUGCUCAGUGAAAUUGAAUUACGCGUGCAGAUGCGCGUUGCCUCCAGGGGGACGGGAAGACCCUAUGCAGCUUUACUGUAGUUAGUUAUCAUCUUGGAUCUAGAACAUUUGUUAAUAAUAGACUAAUAGGGAAGUGCCAUAGAUAUAUACUUUUUUUAAAGUGUAGGUACAAAAGUUGGAAGACCUUAGGUUAACAAUGGGUCCUGAUUCACCUUUUAAGAAUUAAAAAAUAUUAGGGACAGGUGACUAAUUGGCAGUUUGACUGGGGCGGUCGUCUUUAAUAUAGUAGCAAAGUACAUCCAAAUAUUUUAUAAAAAAAAGAAAAUAGUUUUCUAAACUAUUACUUCAAAUACAAUCUAAGACCUAACUCUACGGAAGGCACCUUUAUUUCCAUACCGGAUAUAUGGGUUCUCGAAGGAGAGAAAGGUUUUUAAAAUUUAGCUUUGGACUAUUAAUUGGAAAUAUUUUAUAUCUCUAAUUAAAAAAUUCAAAUUUUAAAUUUUAAUAAGGUUGCUUUGUAACAAGGUAUAGCUAGACAUUGAAUGGAGAUCAAUCAACCAGUGAAGGGUUGCGAAGAGUUUAAUGGCGGAAAGCAUGCCUAACUGAAAGACCUAAAAGUCGCACAGAUACGUAAGUAGGGCAUAGUGACCCCUCGCUAUAAUAUGGAAUAGACGGGGAUCAAUUGAUAAAAGUUACGCUAGGGAUAACAGGCUGAUAGCGGACGAGAGUACACAUUGUCUCCGCUGUUUGGCACCUCGAUGUCGACUCAUCCUUUCCUCUGGGAGUAGAAUCUUGGAAGGGUUCGGCUGUUCGCCGAUUAAAAGGGUACGUGAGUUGGGUUUAAUACGACGUGAGUCAGUAUGGUCCCUAUCUUCUGGAGGGACAAGUAGUAAACAGGGGGAGACCUUCUAGUACGAAAGGAUCAAUAGGCUGUGUUUCUCUAGUGUACCAAUUGUUUUAUAUUAUUCUUAAUUAUUAGAAUAUAAUUAAAUAAAUGAAUAAGUAUAGACGCAUAGUUGGGUAGCCACAAACAUAUUAGAUAAAUGCUGAACGAAUAUAAAGCAAGAAUCUAACCCCUAGAUACUAAUAGAUUUUAAAAUUUAAAAUCUUGAAUUAAGAAAUAGAAGAUUUCUGAAUAGGCUGCGAAUGUACAUGAUGUAAGUCAUUAAUUUAAAAUUUUUUAGUAAAUUU
RNAcentral lists this ribosomal RNA (3684 nucleotides) under Cyathus pallidus. RNAcentral's name for it is "large subunit ribosomal RNA". The stretch from base 769 to 3684 matches the Rfam family "Bacterial large subunit ribosomal RNA". The record is from RNAcentral. Lineage: Eukaryota; Fungi; Basidiomycota; Agaricomycetes; Agaricales; Nidulariaceae.